Molecule: long non-coding RNA, 8832 nt
Organism: Bombus terrestris (buff-tailed bumblebee)
Lineage: Eukaryota; Metazoa; Arthropoda; Insecta; Hymenoptera; Apidae
Exons: 2
Source: RefSeq, a predicted model, not a curated record
AGCUACGAUAAAGCAUGUUUUAACUAUUCAAAUUUAUGAAAAUUUCCAUUAUGCUAGUUAUUAUGCUUUACACUAUACUAUGAAGAAAUUGAAAUAUAUUUAAUAUGUAGCAUAUAUUAAAAAUACCACUACAAAGCCAUUCUUCGAUUCGAAAAAAGCUCGCCUCGUGCAGAAUGGGCUAACUACCGGUUUCCCCACCACCAGUCUCGAACAGCCGGUGGGGGUGAAUCGAUACAGCUACGAUACAACGAGUGAAGUCUCGAAACUCAAAAUAGGAAUGCGCACGCACCCCCUUCUAUCGGCGCUCUAUCGAGCCUUGAAACAAUGUAACAGCCAGCGAAUCAUUUCGUCGCGAAGAGGUGACUCUUUCAACUCUAUUCGCAACACGUAUAUUUUCACUGUUAACAGACGUCAUUUCCAACCAUCUCUAAGAAAAAAUUCAGGCUGGAUUGUCAGCACGUGUCCUGCUCGACUUUUUGAAAGACGAAGGCGGUCGUGAACAGAAGACAGGUCGAUAUAGCAGAGACUGUAACUCUUAUCGCAAGGAAGCCGGCGGCGGAAGAAGAAACAUCCCUCGUAAAUAUAGAAGGUAUAAAAGCUACCCUUUUGAUGGAGUGGGCUUUUAAGGGUCGGCCUGGUAUCGGACCGUUCGUUCACCGCAAGAUGACCAGAAGGAUCGAAUGGAGAGGCCGAAGGGUGAGCGGUCUGUGGACGUAGGAUACCCGGCGUGCUUAACGACCAUCGCUUUACGGGUUUCGUAUUUUGUUUAAAAUCUAACCAUAAAGUGGCCAUCGGUUCUAACCGUACUGUGGCAUUCGCUAUUACCAGUUUUAAUGCAUCAUUACACUACGUAUAUACCUAACCCACAUUCCCUAUCACCGGCUGAUAGCAUAGGAUAUGAGGCUAAAGAAGGUAUUCUGUAAAAUGGGAUUUUUUUUCAAAUGUCGUUAAGAUUCGUUUUAAUGAAAUUUCUAUUUAUUGCUGAGAUAUCGUACAGGGACGUUUAAUCGUGUAUCGUAAUAAAGUUGGCGCGAUCAGAGUUGACCGAUAGUCUAGAGGAAAUUAUCUUUUGGUAUUUUCAUUUAGUCGUAUCUUGUAGAGUAUCACAUAGCCCAUUUCAUAAAUAAUUAUCUACGAGGAAAUACAAAAUAUAGGAAAGUAUCAUCUAUGAUUUGUAAAUAAUUAAUUAGAUGCUUUGUUCUCUAAAAUAUGUUUUUUGAAGGCUGUCGACACAAUUUCUGAUAAUUUUUCGCUAAACGUAAUAAAUAUGUUGUAUAUAACUAAUGGAAUUAUUCUCUCUAUGUCGAGCAAUGUUUUUUAUUUUUUUAUUUGACAAAGGAGUAAAUUUGUACGUGAAAUAGCAUGUUAGAAACAGUCUGCUAUUUGUAAAUUAUAAUAUUUAUAUUUUAAAAUGUUGCGUAUAUGUACGUGUAUACGCUGCUUGCUACUGUUUAUACGAAGAGAAAAAGCUAUCGCAGUUGCUUCCAUUUUUAUUCGACAUAUAUCUUCGUCUAUUUGUCUCGUGAAACGAUUUCUCCAGAUAGUGUAUGAUGAUAGAAAGCAUCAUCGAAAUUCAGAAGGAAGCGUCACAAGGUAUUCCCAUUUCCGGCGCGCUUUCCCGCUCAUAUGGUAUAUAAGGAUAUCAACGAGGCGAUAGAGCUGUUCCCGCCUGGGGUGAAUAACUUAUGUUUACUCGCAUAAAUUCUCAUAUUCGGCGUCACUUAAACAUUCGGAAUUCGAUCGAAUUCAGGGAGUUUAACAUUUCCAAUCAUUCCAAUUGCCUCAUAUUUUCCAACAAUUUUCGUAUUGUAACUCAUUACUUGAUGUAUAGUUAUGAACAAUGCGGUAUUGUAGUUGGAAUUAUAUUAAAUCAGAUACCGAGAUAAUGAAUUUCACUGCAGUUCACGUUUUACUAAGCUCAAUCGUAUUGAUUAAAUACAACCGAAAUUUCGCUGCAAUUACAAAUGUUAAAUAAUAGACCUUAGUAUUUCUUUAUUAAAUUAUAUAAUUUACCGUACUUUUUAAUUUUCGUAAGAGAUAUUAAUAGGGAUAUUGCGAGCGAAAGUGGACUAAUCCCACUGCUCAAUGAACUAAAUAACUCACUGUCUAAAAUAGAUGUGAGCAUAAAAUAUUCAAUAUGCUUGAUCUCGUUAUAAUGUUUGUGUUUGAUUUUGAGAAAAAUGAAUUCCUUCGCUUUUGUAUGAUUAACAUAGUUUACUUGGAUAUAUUAAAGCUAUAAAGUUACAUUUAGAAAGAUAUAUUUACUUACAGACUUACAGUUACUUUAUUUUUGCUCUGAUAUUUCAUUCGUGAGGAAUAAGCUUCCUAGGUAGCAAUACGAGAUUCUUUAAUUCCAGUUUAUACGCGUCCAAUCUUCGGAGCGGUAAGAAAAAUAUUACGUUAAUAUCCCAGAUGCAUCGUAAAGGUGACAGACGGACGUAUAUCGAAGCGGACACACCGGCAAGACAUUAUAUUUUUGGAAAGCAACCAGCCGCUCCGGAGCUUACGGUGGCCAUAAAGCUGUUUUAUUUCCACCGAGCGGUUUUAAAAUUCCACUCCUGAAAUGGCGUGCGCAAGGUAAGGGUAGAGCAGCGAGGGAAAGUAUCGUACAGACGGCGAAAAGAAGCGAGAACGCGAAUCAAGACGACUUCAGAGGACGAACGUACGAACGCAGGCUCACGAGUAAAAAAUAUAAAUGUUGGCUCCCCUUUUAGUUGUGAAUUCGAGAGGGUUGGACAUUCAUACAUAUGGGGCCAAUUUACAAAAAUUAUUCAGACACCAGACGAUCGUAAACGCGUAUCAUUGUCGAAGGAUUUGAGAGAUUUCGAAGAGAACACAAGCGGAAAGAUGGAGGAAUCGAGUGCUAGGCUUUGUGAAAGAUGUAGACACUUGGCUCAAGUAUUUCCAUUUCGCGAAACAGUGCCACGUUCGAGAAAUUCACGAUGAGAAAUAGAUGACUUCGCUCACCUCUGUAAAUGAGCAGUGCUGAAAUGUUCCUGACGUAAAACGAGGACGUAAAAAUAAAUUCGAGAAAUAUACCUGAUAAUUUUCCACGUUUCACGACAAGUCGGGGUUAAAUUUCCAUGCGACCCGAAUUAAACAAGUUUUUUUUAUAUUCCGUUCGUCGCGAAAGAAACGAGAAUAAACUGCACAUUUUUAAUCCAAAAGAUACAAUUUGUCAAAUUUCGAAGAGAAAGUUUUUCACGACGUUGGAAAGUCUAUCCCCAAAAUCUACAGUCGGUCUUUCCUCUUUAAAAAGAGCUUUAAUUCGAUGGCGUAUUUUUGGCAAGUGUAUCGGUAGAUUUCAAAUAGUUUACCAUUUGACGUUUUCAUCGGGUUAUAUUGCUUUAUAUCUACAAAUAUAUGUACAAAACUUUGUUUUACCAAAAUAAAAUAAUUUUGUGGAAAAUUUAGAAAAUAUAAUGAAACGAUAGAAAUUUAAUUCAGUUAAUUCAGAGUAUAUUCAUUUACUGUAAAUUGAAACAUAUGUUCAUAAUACAACUAUCAACUUUUAAAUGCUCUAUAUAAGGUUUUCCUAUUAUUUCAUAAACAUGAUCAUUUAUAUACAAUUACCCUCAGUUGUACAAUCUUUUUCUGAUUUCCUUUGUAUCUUUUUACGAGACGUAGUUUACGUAGAAAAAAAAUACACUUGAUUAUAUCUUGACAAAAGGAUAAAAGAAUAUUCGUACCGUAAAAUAUCAAAGUAAGCAUAAAGCAGUACUUGGUAUUUCACCUCGCCUCUCUAUUUGUAUAUUAUAUUUCCGGGCAUUCAACGUAACUUCCCGUUAUAUUCGUGCGUUGUAUAAGGGGUACAGCCACGAUCGCGACCUGUCUAGCAUUCAGUGAAACAAGUCAGUAAUCGCUUUUAUCGCUGAUUCCGCUUACACGAUGCCCAUGGAGGCGGCUGGAGGCCGCGCCGUUCUCGCUCGAACUUCCACUAAUCGUUGUUACGUAAACUUCGCACAAAACGCGAAGCGCUGUUAUUAUUAUAACUUUCAAUAAUCGUCCCCGUAUAAAUUUGUCAGAAAAUGCCCGGCCAGAAUGUUAUCUCGGCAACUUCGCCGCCUGUAUAUUCCGCUUCGAAUUCAUAACAACUUUCCAAGUCACAGCGAAGCUAGGCCGGGCAAUAAAUUCAUCUAUGAAACGGCCUGUAUAGCGAGGCAGUACCCUCGUGGUUAUUUCAGUUUUCGCCGGUGUGGAUUGUUCGCCCGAACAGCAGAGGAGGCACGAAUGCACUAAAUAAAUAAAGUAACAACGCGUGGAAGGGCGCAGUGCUGAGACUCGAAAAGUAAAGGAAAGAAUCGCCGCUGCCUGGCGCGCGCGCGCGCGCCACAAAUGCAGGAAGAACACAGAGAGGAAGGCUAGAGAAAGAGCACAGAGACAGCGAUGCUGGUUCGAAAGAAAGGGUGGGACGAAGAAGCGACGAAACCCCGCGGGUCACUCGUCCGACUUUGCGAAAUAAAAACUCGCUUUACGGCCAGCUUUUAUUGCGGCCUCAACGUUUCUUUUGUAUCCCUUUCGUAGCGCGCUACAGUGGCUUUCAAUCGGUUCAACGAAUACAUAGUUUACCAAUGGUCUCCUCGGGAAUACCGCGCUUCCCUUUUUCCCGACAGCUUCUAUCCUUUGCCCUCUUUUGCCUCUUAUUUCCCAUCCAUGUCGUGCCGCCUCUUUAUUCCUUCGCUGUUGUUUUUUAACCCCCGCAAACUGGAGGAGAGUUCUCUCUCUCCCACUCAUUCACUCAGUCUUCACGAUCGUUCUUAAACGAAGCCGAACUCUUGUGAUUCUUUGAUUCCGUCCAUUGCGCUUUCUUAACCCAUGGAAGUAACUUGAAUUGCAGGAUUGUUUGAGGUAAUUAAAUCUUCCUGAAGUAAUCAGAUUGCCGUUUCUGAGGCAACCGGCACUGAGGAAUAAUAUCGCGGCCGAGAUCCGUUCGUGUUGAUUACUAUCGGCAGAAAAAUUAAUACUCGGCCGUUUGGUGAAUAAGCGUAGAGGAACUUUUGCAGCGUUUUGUAUUAGAUUCAGGUGGAAAAUGUCACGCAAUGUUGCAUACAUGGUAGGAAUAUUAAUCGAAUUAUAAGUUCUAAAGAGGAUUGAAGAUUCCAAAAUGAGUCCGUGAAGAUAACAAGAGUGCGUGUGUUUCUUUCUAGCUGUAUCGUGAUUUAUUUGAGUUUGCGAUGAUUUAAUUAUAAAAUUACAUACUUGUAAUAAUCUGACGAUAAAAAAGUCAAAUAUAGAAGGAGAUUCUAUACCAUUAUCGAAUUUCUAUCCACUUGGAGUUAGUUUGGAUAUCGUCACACCUACUUCAACUGAAAACGUGUUAAGGGUGCAAUGGAAGGGUGCUCAUGAUAUUCAUUAGGCACGUAGAUUGGUAAUUAGAAUUUUCAGCAAAAAUUAAUUAGUGCAAUAUCGAGUUACAGCUAGCUUAAAAUCAAAGCUACAAUUUAAAUUAAGGAAUUGCUUAAUAAUCAUCUGUACACAUGCUUGUGAAAUCCUGAAACUUGAACAUUAACAAUGGAAGUUAAUUGACGGUAAAUGGAAAUUUACAUUACUAAGAUCUUACUUUUAGACGAGUUAAAAAUUCUUAUUUGUUAUCAUUAUUUCACACAUUUUUCUAAAAUUCGUGAUUUGUAUAAAUAACCUUACGAGUACUCUUAUACGAUGUGCUAAUUUCACCAAGGCUCGUCUAGGUUUGUUGGAACAUUCACAAAUAGGAAUGGCAGAUACCUAUGCGAAAAAAUUUAGAAGAAUUUCUCGUUCUGGUUAGCUUUGAUCAAGUGAAGAUUAAUUUCUCAUGGUUAAUUUGGCAAUUAAUUUGCCAAGAGGAAAAGUGGUUCUUACAUCAAGUUGAAGGAGGGCCUGUCAAGAACACUGAUUGAAAUGUAGGGUAGAAAAGCCUCGGGCGGAGGAUUCGAGGGUAGAAUAUUGGGGUGGUUGGGCAAAAGUGUCAGGCGCGCGAUUUAAAGUGGCUAACAGCAUACCGUAUCGCAAAAAUGAUACUUCAUUCUAAAAGAAAAUGUUUGUCGCAAUAACCUGGAAAUUCGUAAAAUGAAAUACAUUGCAACCAUUGAAACGUUUAACAUAUUAUUUUCUUCAAUUUGCGUUGUACAUAAAUAAUUCUGAGUGAAUUUCUGUAAUGUGUGCCCAUUCUUACCAUUCUCCUUGCUUUGUUUUUAUAUCGAACUCGCAAAGUUUUGGUCCAAUACACCUCACAAAAAAUCUUCGCUUAUUGCUCAAGAGUGGAGACUAUUUCUGCCAGUUUACUGAAACAACAGGGAACGCACGCUAGAUUUCAGUGUGACUUUCUUCGUAUUUUUCUGGAUGUAAUAAACGAGUGGCGUUUGCUGCGGAGUUCGCAAUUAAACCCUAUAUACGUAGCGUACAUGCCACAUGCACCGAGCACACUCUAGGCGCGGAGGGCAGGUAAAGCCCGUUUGUUUUGGAAAUUGCGUUAAUUUGCCAAGCGCAGACCGGCUGAUUUUGUGAGUGACGUCGCAAUCACUGCGCAAUCACCGGAAACGAACGAAUCGCGGAGGUGAACCACCGUGGUUAUGUAUACCAGCGCGAUCGUACGCGUGCAGUUUCGCUUUAACAAUCGAAUUCUUGGAAUAGCUAUGUCGUGGAACAAAGGAUUCCGAUAAUAUUCCUAUAUACUAGGUCUGGAAGUUUCGUGUAUCGCGAAAUUAAAGAUUUUCAGCUGCAAAAUCCGUUAAAUUCAAGGAAUUGCUGAGUUUACAGUUUACAUGUUUGUACAAAGAAGUUUAAAAAUUACGAACAUCGAGAUUUCAAAGACAAGAGUUUGGGAAUUUGAGAUUACGAUAUUGUAUAACAGCAUAAUUCAAGCUUCUUUUCAACCAGAAAGUUAUUUUUACUUUAAAUAUACAUAAUAAUACUAAUAGUAUGUACAUACAUAAUUUAUAAUAUACACAAUUAUGAAGAAAUUAUACUACGUUCAAAGUAAAUGAUCUAAAGUAAGCAAAUAGUUUUAAACAUUAUCACGAACCUAUAAUGCAUUAAUUAGCAAUGGUCAUAAAGAAAAAAUAGCCGAAUUUAUUCUAAUUCCAGUUAGAAUCGAAAAUGUUGAUAUUCGUAAUUAAGUUAAAAUUAUAUAACAAAUCCUAAUCAUACGUAAAAAGGGAAAUUAACCAAAAAAGGAUGCACGGAAACUGUUUAAGAUUGUCUGCCAGGUGAACGCAUAGCAGAUUUAGUAAUUAGCAUUUUCGCUACGUCAAGUCUUGAAUACAUUAUUUCAUGAAAACAUCGUUGUAAUUACAAUGGCGUGGGUAAAGAGUAGGUUGUAAUAACGUAGAAGAGAAUGUUAUGGUAAAAUCCAGAGUGUCACCCUAGCAAUUAAUCAUCUAUUAAUUGGCAAGAAAACGUGUUUGUCAUCCUAUGAAAUUACUUGAUCUUCAAGAGACCAGACUAUUGGCAAGUUAAACGUUGUUGCUCAUUAUUUAUAAUUAAUUAAUGCCCACCUCUUUGCACGUGAAUCACCUACCUUCCAACUUGGAAUGCAGUGCAUCGUUUUCUUCCCUGUUCUUUUAUAUGCAAGCGACAAAACUACACAGUAAUUCAGCGAUGCAAGAGUACAUACAUGGUAUGUACAAAUAAAAUAUGUAAUUAUGAGCAAAUUAAAUACGUAUUUAGAUAUUAUGUAUUAAGUAUUACGUGCGUAAAUAUUAAACAUUAUUUAGCAGAAUAUAUACGUAGAAUAUAUGAAAUUAAAUCGACAUUCAUGUGAAUGUAAAUCAAGACAGAAUCCAAACCGUUAUAAUAUUGCAAUUCGAGAUAAAAUUGUGAAAGAAAUUAACGUUGAAUGCUCCUAAUUCCGAAUGCAAGUCACAGCUGUAAUGAAAAGGGAAAAAAUGUAUCUUCAUGCUUACUAUAAAAAAUUUCUCUUUUAGGUAUACGGGUCAGCGUAAAGGCUUUAAAAAUUACACGGGUAUUCUAAAUAUAACUUGAAUAACAGAAAUAAAGGAAUGAAGUCACAUUUUCUUUAUAAUUUAAUUUAUAAUUACAUAAUCAGUAAUUAAUAUGUUGCAACUAUACAUAGCGAAAUCGUGUCUUUAUCUGCACUUCCGUAAUUAAACUGUAUUUUAUUGAAAGCAGUAAAUGUUCUAAUGCGAUGUAGUGUACGCGUGUGUUGUGCUUGUAUAAUAUAAAGCAACCGAAGUGUAAUCGAAUCUAGUAUGAAUUUCUCAGUAAAAUUGGGAACACCUAUGGUUUAGCUGCGGCAUAUAAAUCGCAUGGGAAAUUUAUUUAACUUAGCAGAAAGUUCAGCGUACAAAAUGCGAGGACCGUGUUAAAUGCAAAACAGCGGAGGUUUUCGUAACAAGUGACAUAAUAAGAAUUAAUUUACUUCAACAGAACGUACAGCGUACGUUCUUGUAAUCAAUGUACGUACGUACGUACGUUCAUCCACAGUUUCUAUGAAUUCAAUUAGAUUAAAUAAUAUGUAAGGUUUGUUAAGGAGUAAAAUUGCGUGUAAAACUGAUGGUACUGAAAGCAGAAUAAGUACUGGGAUAAAUUGAAAUGGGGAAGGAAGUCAAAAUUGUACGUACAAAGACGAGCAAUUUCUUCAGAAGCAUAUUAAGAUGAAAGCAAAGAAUAGAGAUCAGAUUUCGAAACAUUAAUAAGUUAAUAAUAAUACAAUUAAAAACAAAAACAUAUUCGUUAAUAAGUGUGUUAGAUAAUAUUAAGUGAUAAUAUUAAUACUAAACGAUACGAUAAUAAUGUUAAUAAUUCUGAUGUAUGACAAAUUUCAAAUAUCUUAGAAUUGUUAAGAUAAAAAAAUCAUGCAAAACUGACAUUGUUAAUUAAAAUCGUUAAUAAUUA